RNAcentral lists this ribosomal RNA (497 nucleotides) under uncultured bacterium. RNAcentral describes it as "partial 16S ribosomal RNA". It matches the Rfam family "Bacterial small subunit ribosomal RNA", at positions 28 to 507 of the family's 1533-position model. The record is from RNAcentral.
GAUGAACGCUGGCGGCGUGCCUAAUACAUGCAAGUCGAGCGAACAGACGAGGAGCUUGCUCCUCUGACGUUAGCGGCGGACGGGUGAGUAACACGUGGAUAACCUACCUAUAAGACUGGGAUAACUUCGGGAAACCGGAGCUAAUACCGGAUAAUAUAUUGAACCGCAUGGUUCAAUAGUGAAAGACGGUUUUGCUGUCACUUAUAGAUGGAUCCGCGCCGCAUUAGCUAGUUGGUAAGGUAACGGCUUACCAAGGCAACGAUGCGUGGCCGACCUGAGAGGGUGAUCGGCCACACUGGAGCUGAGACACGGUCCAGACUCCUACGGGAGGCAGCAGUAGGGAAUCUUCCGCCAUGGGCGAAAGCUUGACGGAGCAACGCCGCGUGAGUGAUGACGGUCUUCGGAUCGUAAAACUCUGUUAUUAGGGAAGAACAAAUGUGUAAGUAACUAUGCACGUCUUGACGGUACCUAAUCAGAAAGCCACGGCUAACUACGUG